This 467-nucleotide ribosomal RNA is filed under the name uncultured bacterium. RNAcentral's name for it is "partial 16S ribosomal RNA". It matches the Rfam family "Bacterial small subunit ribosomal RNA", at positions 28 to 507 of the family's 1533-position model. The record is from RNAcentral.
GACGAACGCUGGCGGCGUGCUUAACACAUGCAAGUCGAACGGAAAGGCCUCUUUCGGGGGGUACUCGAGUGGCGAACGGGUGAGUAACACGUGAGUAACCUGCCCUUGACUUUGGGAUAACUUCAGGAAACUGGGGCUAAUACCGGAUAGGAGCUCCUGCUGCAUGGUGGGGGUUGGAAAGUUUCGGCGGUUGGGGAUGGACUCGCGGCUUAUCAGCUUGUUGGUGGGGUAGUGGCUUACCAAGGCUUUGACGGGUAGCCGGCCUGAGAGGGUGACCGGCCACAGUGGGACUGAGAUACGGCCCAGACUCCGACGGGAGGCAGCAGGGGGGAAUAUUGCACAAUGGGUGGAAGCCUGAUGCAGCAACGCCGUGUGCGGGAUGACGGCCUUCGGGUUGUAAACCGCUUUCGCUCAUGACGAAGCUUUGUGUGACGGUAGUGGGUAAAGAAGCACCGGCUAACUACGUG